RNAcentral lists this ribosomal RNA (377 nucleotides) under uncultured bacterium. Its description in RNAcentral is "bacterial SSU rRNA". It matches the Rfam family "Bacterial small subunit ribosomal RNA", at positions 523 to 898 of the family's 1533-position model. The record is from RNAcentral.
AUACGUAGGGUGCGAGCGUUAAUCGGAAUUACUGGGCGUAAAGCGUGCGCAGGCGGUUUUGUAAGUCAGAUGUGAAAUCCCCGGGCUCAACCUGGGAACUGCGUUUGAAACUACAAGGCUAGAGUAUGGGAGAGGGGGGUAGAAUUCCACGUGUAGCAGUGAAAUGCGUAGAGAUGUGGAGGAAUACCAAUGGCGAAGGCAGCCCCCUGGCCUAAUACUGACGCUCAUGCACGAAAGCGUGGGGAGCAAACAGGAUUAGAUACCCUGGUAGUCCACGCCCUAAACGAUGUCAACUAGUUGUUGGUGGAGUAAAAUCCAUUAGUAACGCAGCUAACGCGUGAAGUUGACCGCCUGGGGAGUACGGUCGCAAGAUUAAA